Symphalangus syndactylus (siamang) is the source of this 1545-nucleotide long non-coding RNA. RefSeq lists it as uncharacterized. The record is from RefSeq and is a predicted model, not a curated record. NCBI's taxonomy places the organism in Eukaryota, Metazoa, Chordata, Mammalia, Primates, Hylobatidae.
UAUAUGGCGAGCAGGGGAGAGAAGGUAUCAGCACAGGUCAUUUUUAGGGUGCCAGGGCAGGGUUGAGGAGGGAGUUCUUAGCAGUAGAAACCCACUGUGUGCUAACAGCAGUGAGGAGAGUCCUAGCAGCAAGGGUGGGAACAGAUAGGCAGCUUCCUAUGGGUGCCCAAGGUCCAACCAUGAGUUUUUUUUAACUCCAGAAACCCAAACAUACACUAUUUGAUAAAACUAAAAUUACUUUAGCUGCUGGAAGCAAAUCUGUGUUUUUUGUGAUUGAUUCAAACCACAGACAGAGCAGUGGAUUGUCUUUCGAUAGGUGUGAAUGGGCUGUAUUAGUCACCAGAGUUUCAAUUGUGCUUCUGUUUAGUUAUUAAACUGCAAUUCCACUGAUACCCCGUCUUGAGUGUCUGCUCUGUGAGUAACAUGAAAAGGACCUCUGGUUAAAUAGAAAACUUGUCUUGAAUUUGGAAUUACAACAUGCCCUUACUUAUUCAGGACUCAAUUAACUAGGCUUCAGGAUAAUCCAAGGUGAGGAAAAACAAGAGCUGACAAAGAAAAGAAAUGGUGCUGCUGCGUUAGGGUCUCCCCAGCUGAGCUGGUCUCGGCAAGUGGUGUCCAUUCGUGGGGGCUUGAAUCCAGGUCGAAGUGUUGCCGGAGCAACGGUUGGAACGGAAAACUAGCUGGAGGACACCCGAGUACUCUAAAAGCAAUCCCUGUGGCCAAAAUCAACAGCCAAUUUGGAUACCAUCAAGACACCUGAAACCUUAUCAUGAGCCAGAUGCCAAGGAAGAGAUUCCGGGAGGAUCCCGAGGACCCCCCGGUUGCAGCCAUGUCGAGACUGACGCUGAGGAGGACCCCAACUGUCACGAGCAACACCCGUUGAACACAGCCACCCACCUGGGGACAGAUCAAGAAGCUGUCACAGAUGGCGGAAGAAAACCUGAGGAAAGCGGGACAACCAGUCACAAUGAACAAUUUAAUGGUAGCUAUGAUAGCGAUUAUCACCACUGCCUCUGCAGAUGUGGAUCCUGACUCCUGCGAGAAGUAGCUCACCAUGACAAAGCUGCCCUUGCUUUUAUCAAUUUGCAAAUCAAAUAAAGAGGACAUGUUGGGAGCAGGCCCCCCCAAAAUCUGGCUAUAAACUGGCCCCAAAACUGGCCAUAAACAGAAUCUCUGCAGCACUGUGACAUGUUCAUGAUGGCCAUAAUGCCCACGCUGGAAGAUUAUGGGUUUAUGGGAAUGAGGGCAAGGAACACCUGGCCCGCCCAGGGCGGGAAAACUGCUUAAAGGCAUUCUUAAGCCACAAACAAUAGCAUGAGCGAUCUGUGUCUUAAGGACAUGCUCCUGCUGCAGUUAAGUAGCCCAACCUAUUCCUUUAAUUCAGCCCAUCCGUUUGUUUCCCAUAAGGGAUACUUCUAGUUAAUUUAAUAUCUAUAGAAACUGCUAAUGACUGGCUUGCUGUUAAUAAAUAUGUGGGUAAAUCUCUGUUCAGGGCUUUCAGCUCUGAAGGCUGUGAGACCCGUGAUUUCCCACUUCACACCUCUA